Molecule: ribosomal RNA, 741 nt
Filed under: Entoloma subcaesiocinctum
Lineage: Eukaryota; Fungi; Basidiomycota; Agaricomycetes; Agaricales; Entolomataceae
Description: eukaryotic LSU rRNA
Rfam family: Eukaryotic large subunit ribosomal RNA
Source: RNAcentral
UUCCCCUAGUAACUGCGAGUGAAGCGGGAAAAGCUCAAAUUUAAAAUCUGGUGGUCUUUGGCUACCCGAGUUGUAAUCUAGAGAAGCGUCAUCCGCACUGGACCAUGUAUAAAUCUCCUGGAAUGGAGUGUCAUAGAGGGUGAGAAUCCCGUCUUUGACAUGGACUACCAGGGCUUUGUGAUGCGCUCUCAAAGAGUCGAGUUGUUUGGGAAUGCAGCUCUAAAUGGGUGGUAAGUUCCAUCUAAAGCUAAAUAUUGGCAAGAGACCGAUAGCGAACAAGUACCGUGAGGGAAAGAUGAAAAGAACUUUGGAAAGAGAGUUAAACAGUACGUGAAAUUGUUGAAAGGGAAACGCUUGAAGUCAGUCAUAUUGGCCAGGGAUCAACCUUGCAGCUAUGCUUGGUGUACUUUCUGGUUGAUAGGUCAGCAUCAAUUUUGACCAGUGGAAAAAGUUCAGGGGAAUGUGGCAUCUUCGGAUGUGUUAUAGCCUUUGGCCAUAUACAUUGGUUGGGAUUGAGGAACUCAGCAUGCCGCAAGGCCAGGUUUUUAACCAUGUUCAUGCUUAGGAUGCUGGCAUAAUGGCUUUAAUCGACCCGUCUUGAAACACGGACCAAGGAGUCUAACAUACCUGCAAGUGUUUGGGUGGAAAACCCAAGCGCGUAAUGAAAGUGAAAGUUGGGAUCUCUGUCGUGGAGAGCACCGACGCCCGGACCAGACCUUCUGUGACGGAUCCGCGGUAGAG